Molecule: ribosomal RNA, 249 nt
Filed under: Xanthomonas citri pv. citri
Lineage: Bacteria; Pseudomonadati; Pseudomonadota; Gammaproteobacteria; Lysobacterales; Lysobacteraceae
Description: partial 23S ribosomal RNA
Rfam family: Bacterial large subunit ribosomal RNA
Source: RNAcentral
CGAAGCUGCGGCAGCGACACUAUGUGUUGUUGGGUAGGGGAGCGUUCUGUAAGCCGUUGAAGGUGGCCUGUGAGGGUUGCUGGAGGUAUCAGAAGUGCGAAUGCUGACAUAAGUAACGAUAAUGCGGGUGAAAAACCCGCACGCCGGAAGACCAAGGGUUCCUGUCCAACGUUAAUCGGGGCAGGGUGAGUCGACCCCUAAGGCGAGGCCGAAAGGCGUAGUCGAUGGGAAACAGGUUAAUAUUCCUGU